RNAcentral lists this transfer RNA (76 nucleotides) under Deltaproteobacteria bacterium RBG_13_60_28. Its description in RNAcentral is "tRNA-Glu". It matches the Rfam family "tRNA". From Rfam's summary of the family: Transfer RNA (tRNA) molecules are approximately 80 nucleotides in length. Their secondary structure includes four short double-helical elements and three loops (D, anti-codon, and T loops). The record is from RNAcentral. Lineage: Bacteria; Deltaproteobacteria. RNAcentral also lists the same sequence under 3 other names.
GGUCCCAUCGUCUAGCGGCCUAGGAUAUUGCCCUCUCACGGCAAAGACACGGGUUCGAUUCCCGUUGGGACUACCA